Molecule: long non-coding RNA, 230 nt
Filed under: Olea europaea (common olive)
Lineage: Eukaryota; Viridiplantae; Streptophyta; Magnoliopsida; Lamiales; Oleaceae
Description: long non-coding RNA (OEUR_LNC015182)
Source: RNAcentral
GAAAAAAAUGGAAAAGAUCAUUGAAUAUUAGCUACGAGACAUUCAUAGUUAGAAUUCUUACAAUAUAUUCAUCAUCUAUAUAUGAAAUUUACAUUCAACAAAUAGUCGCGUUUCCACAUACAUAGUCAUUUCGUAGAUAAUUUCCUAAACCAAGCUUCAACGUUAAAAAGAUUUCGGAUCAAGUUAUUCCGCGUUCUUCCACUAUCUUGAGAAGGUGGGCUGAAUUCUCC